This 68-nucleotide transfer RNA is filed under the name Singhiella simplex. RNAcentral describes it as "tRNA-Leu". The record is from RNAcentral. Lineage: Eukaryota; Metazoa; Arthropoda; Insecta; Hemiptera; Aleyrodidae.
UCUAAUGUGGCGGAUUUAGCGCUGUAAACUUAAAAUUUACCCAAAAGACUUACAAUUCUUCUUUAGAA